Molecule: non-coding RNA, 4129 nt
Organism: Petromyzon marinus (sea lamprey)
Lineage: Eukaryota; Metazoa; Chordata; Hyperoartia; Petromyzontiformes; Petromyzontidae
Source: RefSeq, a predicted model, not a curated record
UCGCUUCUAAAAAAAAGCUACAUAGCUCAGUGGGGUCUUACUUGGAAAAAUAAAAAAAUAGUUUAAUUUGGGGGAGCCGGAAGGCAAGCGCCCUUAAUGGACUCGUCUGCCGGGUCGAUGGUUCCCCCGAGCUGUUGCCGUCCGCUCGUGGGAACAAUGGCGCUUCCUGUUCCUCAGACCUGGAGCAGGCGAUCCAGAACGGCGCUCUGUGGAUGAACCAGUGGAGCCCCGCCGUGCCGGCCGCGCAGGUCUACCCGCCGUCGCCGAACAGCGACCUGUCCUUACCGGCGUUCGCCAACCACACGCUACCGCUGGGGCCCGGUAAAUUGCAGGCCCCUGCACCGACGGGUUGCAGCAAGACGAUGCGCGGUUGCGCUGCGGCCUGACGGAAGCUGCGCUGACGAACGGCCGCCCGGCCGUUACCUCACCGGUCCCCAGCCCGCACCGCCGCCGAGUUCCAUUCACGCGUCGCCACCGCUGCCCCCGCUGUUCCCACCACCGCUGUUGCCGCCGCCGCCGCGAAGUACAUUUCCCAAGGAUGAGUGGUCGCAAAACAUCGUGCCCAUCGUCCCACCGGUGAUUCAAGACGGGGACGCUGCGAGAGCGUCGCCGAGCAUGCACGUGCCGACGGCGAGGCUCUUUACGGCGUGGGGUGUGCCGUGUCCGUUGGGCCGCAUUUUAAAGGGAGUGGCGCGACGCAGAGGAUGUCACGUUGACUGUGCGCCGCUGUACAGUUAUAUGGAGAGGUCAUGAUAAUCGUAUAAUGACAACCCCCUUUGUCAGUCCACCGCUGGAUGAAAGUCUAAUUCACGCCGAUUUGGUCAUUGGGGUUUGACCAAACUUCACCGCGUUGGUCAAUGCGGGUUGGUGAAAUGGGCAGGGGAUACCGGUUUAGAUAUCGCCUACGGCUGACGUUAGCCAUGGCCGGGAAUAGAACCCGUAUUACCGGGUUCACGGCGCGCAAACCACUGUCUUCCUCUUCCUUAGUGUGGAAUUUCCACCAUGGGUCCAUGGCGAUUGGGGCAACACCUUUAGUAUGUAUGUUGAACUUCUGUCGCACCGUACAUAGCCAGCCUCGAUAAUCGCGCUAGCUAGAUGUAUAACGCUGCAUCGAUUCAUCAAUGUGGAUUCUUAAGCUCGAAUGGCAUCGCGUGUGUGUAAGAGUUGAUGGGUUUUUUUGCAUGUGUCGUAAUUUGUUAACGAGACCCAAAAAGACGCGAAAUUCACCAUCAUUCAUCGCAGUGUCUAAAUAUUAAUGGAACCUCAAAAGAUGGGGUUAGAGGCUGAAUCGUAUUGACCCACGUGAGUUAUGCCGCUAUCGUCCGUAUCGGCUGUGCAGGUGAAGCAAGACAAUUCAGGGUCGAUCAUCGAUGGUCAAUCGUCGGCGCCGGUCACCGAUGCCUCCGCCUAGUCUCUUCAAAAUGCCAACUUCACCGCCAUACUUGCUCAUAAUUCAUGGAUGUCCGAUUGGGCCCAUCACAACCCUGCUGGCCCGGCUGUAGUUCACGCCACUCUGUCUGGCUGCGGCCACCAAGGUCGCACGGCCGGCCAGGUUCCAGUCGCUCAAGCUGGCACUUUCCCGGUGCCCGCGUGGGCCGCAGCAGCCACCGCGGUGCCUGCAUCCCCCACACUAUCGGGGCCAUCGGUGCGGGUCGCCACCCUGGAGGAGCGGCGUUCGUGCCCACCGACGCAGGCGCCCGACCUGGCUGACGGCGGCCGGCGUGGCUCCUCGCAAGCCGCCGACGCCGCCGUCAAUCGUGCCGCAACAGCUCGGCCUGACGCCAGGAGUUUUCUCUUGGCCGCGCACCGACAGCUCUUUCCCGGACGCGUCGAGCAAUCGCCACGGGCUGCCACUGGCGCCGAACGCAGUCUUCCGUCGCCACGGAACCUGGCCACAGUCGCUGGGACCGUCGUCGUUCCCACCGCUGGGCGGCGGAAUUUCUCCGUUCUGCAGCAACAGGCGCCGGCGGAGCUUCCCGGCGGUAGCCGUGGCACGCCAUUCGCUCGCGCCGGUUCGGCACGCGCCGCCUCCGCCACGCCGCUCGUGCCGGUGACGUCCGUGCCGGGUGAGGCGCAGUGCACGGUCGGCGCCCCAGGAGGAAAUCUGCAGGGGGCAGCAAGCGAAUCGCCCGCGCCGUGCAGAUGGAACGCACGCGCACAGAGCUCCGCGGCCUCUGGUCAUGCCAAGUUGCAGAAUGACGACUCGGCCGCAGAAACGUGUUCGACGCACUGCGACGCUGCCGCCGUGCAGGUCUCCACCUGAGCGCCCUGCGGAGGCAGAAGCUCGACCGGGAGCUCGUGCUACGCGUCAAGGAGAUGCGGCGGCGCGAGCGUGCUCAGCUGUCCCUCGCCUCUCUGCCGUGUCCGCCGCCGGCGGCGUGCCAGAAUUCUGGCGCCACAUGCGCCACGGCCGAGAAGCUUCUCCGCUGUUGUCCGGCGCAGGAAGCGCCCCGGCUGGUUGGGAUUCCCGCUCGGGAGUGGCGGGGGAUGAGGCGCACCAGCGGGAGCAGUGCGGCUUCCCGCUGGGUCGGCUGAGAGAGGAAAACGGGGAUGAGUUUGAGGUCGGCGGAGGCGGCAAUGGCGACAACGUUCCGGGUCGAAGGGAGAGGCGCGUUGUCGCCCUCAACCAGCAUUCACCUGUGUUUGUCCAGACGUGGCAGCAAAGGUUGGUGAUCAUGACGCCGGUGACGCAACCGGGCUCUGAGUUCCAGGACCUCCACCUCGUCGGGCAGCUCGCUGGUGCCCCCCGGCUCCCGCUGUCGCACCUUCAAAGUUUGCACGUCACGGUCGACAACAAUCUAGCCUGGCGGAGUGGCGAUCGGAGAUGGCGAGCAAUCGUCGUCACAGAUGGAGAAUCGAUUCCUGCGGCCAAGUGGGUUUUUAUAGGGCGUGGAGGAUGACGCGUGAGAGAGCGAGGCCCCGGUGAGCUGGGGGACGUGGCGGAGUCGGGAGCGCCGGAGAGGGGAGGAGCGGCUGACGACGGGCGACCAAAUCGACUGCGCGGACGAUGGCCCACUCGCUCGCCGGAGGCUUGGCCCUGCCUCUUGUGCCACGUUGCUCAUGGUGGAAUGUAAUCACGGCGUCGGUCAGCCGUCUGUGCGCAGCCGUCACUGCCGUCACCGCCGUCGCCGCGGACGGCGAUGGCGCGGACGGCGUGACCGAGUUGCGGUCCUCGGCUGACCAAUAGAGUGGUUCUCGUAAAGGUCGUAAUCAUUCUUAAAUGUUACGGUUCCAUGCGUGGAUCGGGAACCAGUAGCGUUCGAUGUUAAUCAAGGGGACCGAGUGGCACCGCUGAGAAUCCUGGGAUCGAAUCCUUGUGUCAGCUGCCAGUGUUUUUUAAACCAGGUUCUUAUGGCUGGAGAAGUUGAUGGGUCUAAGUCCUGGUCACCAAUGACUGAACGAAAUUUAAAUCGGGUUAAAGUUGGUUCUGAACUAAUUUGGAUAAAUUCCCACUGAGAAUUAAAAGCAUCCAAGUUUAACUAUCAUGCGACGAUCCUCGGCGGGAAGGCGGCAGUCACUGUGUAUGGACCAGAGGUCUCAGAUGUAACUCUGUGGAGUCAGCUUCCGCAGAGUAUCCCACUGCUCUGCUAAAACUAUGAAUCUAACUUUGCAACAACAAAAAAGUUUUAAAAUAUUUAAGAGUUUAAGAUAUGUUUUCUAAUUUUACACAGUAUCAAUAGAAAGGGACGUACAUUUAACUUACUGUUUAGCAUUACGAUUGUUUCUUCUCAAUACAACAAUUUUUCUACCUACGUGACUUUACCGAAAGAACCAAAGAGUAUGGAUUCUUGCAGUAACGAAAGCUUCAAAUCAAGAUAGUAAGCAAAUCACUAAAAAUAUUUUGUAAACUAACACUUUACAGUAUAAUUUUACCAGCGAAAGCCCGCAGAGUUAUUCUUUUUCAGAAGCGAUCUGGCCACAAAGAGUACUGGAAGAGGAGAGAGGACUUCGUGAUUACUGCGAUUCUCUUAUUGAUUUGUCUCCGCGGCCUUUGUGUUUUGAGACCUUGGCACGUUAGCCAGGCAGGAGACGUGGUUGUUGUGUUUGUCUCUCUGCUGCAGCCCCUCCCCCACUGGGCCUCUCGCUAAGACUGCAGGUUGCCUUGUUUUAAAUCCUCGUUUUAUUAAAC